GACGAACGCUGGCGGCGUGCCUAAUACAUGCAAGUCGAACGAGAGCGCCCGGUUCUUGCACUGGUCAAUCUAGUGGCGAACGGGUGAGUAACACGUGGGUAACCUGCCCAUCAGAGGGGGAUAACAUCCGGAAACGGAUGCUAAAACCGCAUAGGUCUUCGAACCGCAUGGUUUGAAGAGGAAAAGAGGCGCAAGCUUCUGCUGAUGGAUGGACCCGCGGUGCAUUAGCUAGUUGGUGAGGUAACGGCUCACCAAGGCCGUGAUGCAUAGCCGACCUGAGAGGGUGAUCGGCCACAUUGGGACUGAGACACGGCCCAAACUCCUACGGGAGGCAGCAGUAGGGAAUCUUCCGAAAUGGACGCAAGUCUGACGGAGCAACGCCGCGUGAGUGAAGAAGGUUUUCGGAUCGUAAAACUCUGUUGUUAGAGAAGAACAAGUGCUAGAGUAACUGUUAGCGCCUUGACGGUAUCUAACCAGAAAGCCACGGCUAACUACGUG
This 498-nucleotide ribosomal RNA is filed under the name uncultured bacterium. Its description in RNAcentral is "partial 16S ribosomal RNA". It matches the Rfam family "Bacterial small subunit ribosomal RNA", at positions 28 to 507 of the family's 1533-position model. The record is from RNAcentral.